CCUACGGGUGGCAGCAGUGAGGAAUAUUGGUCAAUGGGCGAGAGCCUGAACCAGCCAAGUCGCGUGAAGGAUGACGGCCCUACGGGUUGUAAACUUCUUUUGUCAGGGAGCAAUUGAGUCCACGUGUGGUCUUAGCGAGAGUACCUGCAGAAAAAGCAUCGGCUAACUCCGUGCCAGCAGCCGCGGUAAUACGGAGGAUGCGAGCGUUAUCCGGAUUUAUUGGGUUUAAAGGGUGCGUAGGCGGAAUAUCAAGUCAGCGGUAAAAAUUCGGGGCUCAACCCCGUCGUGCCGUUGAAACUGAUGGUCUUGAGUGGGCGGGAAGUAGGCGGAAGGCGUGGGGUAGCGGUGAAAUGCAUAGAGAUCACGCAGAACUCCGAUUGCGAAGGCAGCAUACCGGCGCCCAACUGACGCUGAAGCACGAAAGCGUGGGUAUCGAACAGGAUUAGAGACCCCUGUAGUC
This 460-nucleotide ribosomal RNA is filed under the name uncultured bacterium. Its description in RNAcentral is "partial 16S ribosomal RNA". It matches the Rfam family "Bacterial small subunit ribosomal RNA", at positions 338 to 795 of the family's 1533-position model. The record is from RNAcentral.